AGCAGCCGCGGUAAUUCCAGCUCCAAUAGCGUAUAUUAAAGUUGUUGCAGUUAAAAAGCUCGUAGUUGAAUUUCGGGAUCAGUAGGUCGGUCAUGCCUCAGGUAUGUACUGGUCUCACUGGUUCCUCCUUCCUGAUGAACCGUAAUGCCAUUAAUUUGGUGUUGCGGGGAAACUGGACUGUUACUUUGAAAAAUUAGAGUGUUUAAAGCAGGCUAACGCUUGAAUACAUUAGCAUGGAAUAAUGAAAUAGGACGUUCGAUCCUAUUUUGUUGGUUUCUAGGAUUGACGUAAUGAUUAAUAGGGAUAGUUGGGGGCAUUAGUAUUCAAUUGUCAGAGGUGAAAUUCUUGGAUUUAUUGAAGACUAACUACUGCGAAAGCAUUUGCCAAGGAUGUUUUCAUUAAUCAAGAACGAAAGUUAGGGGAUCGAAGACGAUCAGAUACCGUCGUAGU
Molecule: ribosomal RNA, 450 nt
Filed under: uncultured Glomeromycotina
Lineage: Eukaryota; Fungi; Glomeromycota
Description: SSU rRNA
Rfam family: Eukaryotic small subunit ribosomal RNA
Source: RNAcentral